RNAcentral lists this ribosomal RNA (659 nucleotides) under uncultured bacterium. Its description in RNAcentral is "bacterial SSU rRNA". It matches the Rfam family "Bacterial small subunit ribosomal RNA", at positions 94 to 788 of the family's 1533-position model. The record is from RNAcentral.
AGUGGCGGACGGGUGAGUAACGCGUGAGAAUCUGCCUUGGGGUCGGGGACAACCACUGGAAACGGUGGCUAAUACCGGAUAAGCCGAUUGGUGAAAGAUUUAUUGCCCGAAGAGGAGCUCGCGUCUGAUUAGCUAGUUGGUGAGGUAAGAGCUCACCAAGGCAGCGAUCAGUAGCUGGUCUGAGAGGACGAUCAGCCACACUGGACUGAGACACGGCCCAGACUCCUACGGGAGGCAGCAGUGGGGAAUUUUCCGCAAUGGGCGAAAGCCUGACGGAGCAAGACCGCGUGAGGGAGGAAGGCUCUUGGGUUGUAAACCUCUUUUCUCAGGGAAGAAGCUCUGACGGUACCUGAGGAAUCAGCCUCGGCUAACUCCGUGCCAGCAGCCGCGGUAAUACGGAGGAGGCAAGCGUUAUCCGGAAUUAUUGGGCGUAAAGCGUCCGCAGGUGGCGAUUCAAGUCUGCUGUCAAAGCACGGGGCUUAACUCCGUAAAGGCAGUGGAAACUGAAUAGCUAGAGUGCCGUAGGGGUAGAGGGAAUUCCCGGUGUAGCGGUGAAAUGCGUAGAGAUCGGGAAGAACAUCGGUGGCGAAAGCGCUCUACUGGACGGCAACUGACACUCAGGGACGAAAGCUAGGGGAGCGAAUGGGAUUAGAUACCCC